Molecule: unclassified non-coding RNA, 345 nt
Filed under: soil metagenome
Description: partial contains 5.8S ribosomal RNA, internal transcribed spacer 2, and large subunit ribosomal RNA
Rfam family: 5.8S ribosomal RNA (bases 1-120)
Source: RNAcentral
GAUGAAGAACGCAGCGAAAUGCGAUACGUAAUGUGAAUUGCAGAAUUCAGUGAAUCAUCGAGUCUUUGAACGCACAUUGCGCCCCCUGGUAUUCCGGGGGGCAUGCCUGUCCGAGCGUCAUUGCUGCCCUCAAGCACGGCUUGUGUGUUGGGCCUCCGUCCUCCUCCCGGGGGACGGGCCCGAAAGGCAGCGGCGGCACCGCGUCCGGUCCUCGAGCGUAUGGGGCUUCGUCACCCGCUCUUGUAGGCCCGGUCGGCGCUUGCCGACACAUCAAUCUUUUUUCCAGGUUGACCUCGGAUCAGGUAGGGAUACCCGCUGAACUUAAGCUUAUCAAUAAGCGGAGGA